RNAcentral lists this ribozyme (48 nucleotides) under marine metagenome. RNAcentral's name for it is "Pistol ribozyme". It matches the Rfam family "Pistol ribozyme", at positions 1 to 46 of the family's 68-position model. The record is from Rfam by way of RNAcentral.
ACUCGUCAGAGCGAGUAUAAAUAGCUUUUUUAGGCUCUGAGCGUCCUC